This 393-nucleotide long non-coding RNA is filed under the name Homo sapiens (human). RNAcentral's name for it is "non-protein coding lnc-GABARAP-1:2". Lineage: Eukaryota; Metazoa; Chordata; Mammalia; Primates; Hominidae. The record is from RNAcentral.
GACUAGAAGCAUCAAUAGGUAUGAGAUCUGGUGAUUAAAACUUAGUUUCGGAGCAUAAACCAGGAAAGUUUUACUUAGGUUGUUGACUUCCGGUAGUGGGAGGCAUAUAUUUUUAACAAUAAUUCCUCCUUCCCUCCAAGAAGAGAAAAACACCGUCUCUCUUGAAUUCUGUUUCUUCUCAUCUGCAUUUUCACCCACCCUAGACAAUGCCAUCCCCAUCAAAUCCUGGUUCAGUGACCCCAGCGACACAGCCCUUCUCAACCUGCUCCCAAUGCUGGAUGCCCUCAGGUUCACCGCUGAUGUUCGUUCCGUGCUGAGCCGAAACCUUCACCAACAUCGGCUCUGGUGACAGCUGCUCCCCCUCCACCUGAGUUGGGGUGGGGGGGAAAGGGA